CCUACGGGGGGCAGCAGUGAGGAAUAUUGGUCAAUGGGCGAGAGCCUGAACCAGCCAAGUCGCGUGAGGGAGUACUGCCCUAUGGGUUGUAAACCUCUUUUGUCGGGGAGCAAAAGCCGGACGUUUCCGGCUGUGAUAGUACCCGAAGAAAAAGCAUCGGCUAACUCCGUGCCAGCAGCCGCGGUAAUACGGAGGAUGCGAGCGUUAUCCGGAUUUAUUGGGGUUAAAAGGUGCGCAGGUGGGUUUUUAAGUCAGCGGUCAAAUCGUGGGGCUAAACCCCAUCCCGCCGUUGAAACUGGGGAUCUAGAGUGUGCGAGAGGUAUGCGGAAUGCGUGGUGGAGCGGUGAAAUGCAUAGAUAUCACGCAGAACACCAGUGGCGAAGGCAGAUUGCUGGACAGUAACUGACGCUGAGGCGCGAAAGCGUGGGGAGCAAACAGGAUUAGAUACCCGUGUAGUC
Molecule: ribosomal RNA, 458 nt
Filed under: uncultured bacterium
Lineage: Bacteria
Description: partial 16S ribosomal RNA
Rfam family: Bacterial small subunit ribosomal RNA
Source: RNAcentral